Molecule: ribosomal RNA, 510 nt
Filed under: uncultured bacterium
Lineage: Bacteria
Description: bacterial SSU rRNA
Rfam family: Bacterial small subunit ribosomal RNA
Source: RNAcentral
ACGCUGGCGGCGUGCUUAACACAUGCAAGUCGAACGAAAAGAGGGAAAGAGCUUGCUCUUUUCCGGAAUUUGAGUGGCAAACGGGUGAGUAACACGUAAACAACCUGCCUUCAGGAUGGGGACAACAGACGGAAACGACUGCUAAUACCGAAUAAGUUCCAAGAGCCGCAUGGCCCAUGGAAGAAAAGGUGGCCUCUACCUGUAAGCUAUCGCCUGAAGAGGGGUUUGCGUCUGAUUAGCUGGUUGGUGGGGUAAGAGCCUACCAAGGCGACGAUGCGUAGCCGAACUGAGAGGUUGAUCGGCCACACUGGGACUGAGACACGGCCCAGACUCCUACGGGAGACAGCAGUUAGGAAUAUUCGUCAAUGGGGGGAACCCUGAACGAGCAAUGCCGCGUGAAUGAAGAAGGCCCUAUGGGUUGUAAAAUUCUGUUGUAUGGAAAGAAAUGUAAAGUUAGGAAAUGAACUUUACUUGACGGUACCAUUCAAGAAAGCCACGGCUAACUACGUG